Molecule: ribosomal RNA, 301 nt
Filed under: uncultured bacterium
Lineage: Bacteria
Description: partial 16S ribosomal RNA
Rfam family: Bacterial small subunit ribosomal RNA
Source: RNAcentral
CAGUCGCCGCGGUAAUACGAAGGGUGCAAGCGUUAAUCGGAAUUACUGGGCGUAAAGCGUGCGUAGGCGGUGAGUUAAGUCUGCUGUGAAAUCCCCGGGCUCAACCUGGGAAUUGCAGUGGAUACUGGAUCACUAGAGUGUGGUAGAGGAUAGUGGAAUUUCCGGUGUAGCAGUGAAAUGCGUAGAGAUCGGAAGGAACAUCUGUGGCGAAGGCGACUAUCUGGGCCAACACUGACACUGAGGCACGAAAGCGUGGGGAGCAAACAGGAUUAGAUACCCAGUAGUCCCUGUCUCUUAUACC